This 464-nucleotide ribosomal RNA is filed under the name uncultured Klebsiella sp. RNAcentral describes it as "bacterial SSU rRNA". It matches the Rfam family "Bacterial small subunit ribosomal RNA", at positions 338 to 795 of the family's 1533-position model. Lineage: Bacteria; Pseudomonadati; Pseudomonadota; Gammaproteobacteria; Enterobacterales; Enterobacteriaceae. The record is from RNAcentral.
CCUACGGGUGGCAGCAGUGGGGAAUAUUGCACAAUGGGCGCAAGCCUGAUGCAGCCAUGCCGCGUGUGUGAAGAAGGCCUUCGGGUUGUAAAGCACUUUCAGCGGGGAGGAAGGCGGUGAGGUUAAUAACCUCAUCGAUUGACGUUACCCGCAGAAGAAGCACCGGCUAACUCCGUGCCAGCAGCCGCGGUAAUACGGAGGGUGCAAGCGUUAAUCGGAAUUACUGGGCGUAAAGCGCACGCAGGCGGUCUGUCAAGUCGGAUGUGAAAUCCCCGGGCUCAACCGGGGAACUGCAUUCGAAACUGGCAGGCUAGAGUCUUGUAGAGGGGGGUAGAAUUCCAGGUGUAGCGGGGAAAUGCGUAGAGAUCUGGAGGAAUACCGGUGGCGAAGGCGGCCCCCUGGACAAAGACUGACGCUCAGGUGCGAAAGCGUGGGGAGCAAACAGGAUUAAUACCCGGGUAGUC